AAGCUAUUGUCAAGAUCCUGCUCUUCCUCCUCUGCCUCAUCAUCCUCAUGUACCACUUGAGGAAGGUGACGAGGCCCACACAGGGCAUGGAGAAAGCCAACACUGUCUCAAGUUAAUCUCUCAGGUGAACUUGAUGCCCUCUCCCCCACAUCAUGACCUUUGUAGUGCCUGUGGCCUCCUCUCCUCCCUGAGCCUUGAACAUAC
Long non-coding RNA from Phyllostomus discolor (pale spear-nosed bat), 204 nucleotides. RefSeq lists it as uncharacterized. The record is from RefSeq and is a predicted model, not a curated record. The transcript is spliced from 3 exons. NCBI's taxonomy places the organism in Eukaryota, Metazoa, Chordata, Mammalia, Chiroptera, Phyllostomidae.